This 253-nucleotide ribosomal RNA is filed under the name uncultured bacterium. RNAcentral describes it as "partial 16S ribosomal RNA". It matches the Rfam family "Bacterial small subunit ribosomal RNA", at positions 524 to 776 of the family's 1533-position model. The record is from RNAcentral.
GACAGAGGGGGCGAGCGUUAUUCGGGAUUAUUGGGCGUAAAGGGCGCGUAGGCGGCGCGAUAAGUCAAAGGUGAAAUCCCUCGGCUCAACUGAGGAACUGCCUUUGAGACUGUCGAGCUUGAGGCCGGGAGGGGGUAGCGGAAUUCCCAGUGUAGCGGUGAAAUGCGUAGAUAUUGGGAGGAACACCAGUGGCGAAGGCGGCUACCUGGACCGGUUCUGACGCUGAUGCGCGAAAGCGUGGGUAGCAAACAGG